RNAcentral lists this ribosomal RNA (465 nucleotides) under uncultured Klebsiella sp. RNAcentral describes it as "bacterial SSU rRNA". It matches the Rfam family "Bacterial small subunit ribosomal RNA", at positions 338 to 795 of the family's 1533-position model. The record is from RNAcentral. Lineage: Bacteria; Pseudomonadati; Pseudomonadota; Gammaproteobacteria; Enterobacterales; Enterobacteriaceae.
CCUACGGGAGGCAGCAGUGGGGAAUAUUGCACAAUGGGCGCAAGCCUGAUGCAGCCAUGCCGCGUGUGUGAAGAAGGCCUUCGGGUUGUAAAGCACUUUCAGCGGGGAGGAAGGCGUUCAGGUUAAUAACCUUGGCGAUUGACGUUACCCGCAGAAGAAGCACCGGCUAACUCCGUGCCAGCAGCCGCGGUAAUACGGAGGGUGCAAGCGUUAAUCGGAAUUACUGGGCGUAAAGCGCACGCAGGCGGUCUGUCAAGUCGGAUGUGAAAUCCCCGGGCUCAACCUGGGAACUGCAUUCGAAACUGGCAGGCUAGAGUCUUGUAGAGGGGGGUAGAAUUCCAGGUGUAGCGGUGAAAUGCGUAGAGAUCUGGAGGAAUACCGGUGGCGAAGGCGGCCCCCUGGACAAAGACUGACGCUCAGGUGCGAAAGCGUGGGGAGCAAACAGGAUUAGAUACCCCGGUAGUC